GGAUUGCCUCAGUAACGGCGAGUGAAGCGGCAACAGCUCAAAUUUGAAAUCUGGCCCUCUCAGGGUCCGAGUUGUAAUUUGGAGAAGAUGCUUCGGGUGUGGCCCCGGUCUAAGUUCCUUGGAACAGGACGUCACAGAGGGUGAGAAUCCCGUACGUGACCGGUGGCCGCCCCCGUGUGAAGCUCUUUCGACGAGUCGAGUUGUUUGGGAAUGCAGCUCAAAAUGGGUGGUAAAUUUCAUCUAAAGCUAAAUAUUGGCCAGAGACCGAUAGCGCACAAGUAGAGUGAUCGAAAGAUGAAAAGCACUUUGGAAAGAGAGUUAAACAGUACGUGAAAUUGUUGAAAGGGAAGCGCUUGCAACCAGACUUGCGCGCGGCCGAUCAUCCGGUGUUCGCACCGGUGCACUCGGUCGCGCUCAGGCCAGCAUCGGUUUGGGUGGCUGGAUAAAGGCCUCGGGAAUGUGGCUCCCCUCGGGGAGUGUUAUAGCCCGAGGUGCAAUGCAGCCUACCCGGACCGAGGACCGCGCUUCGGCUAGGAUGCUGGCGUAAUGGUUGUAAGCGACCCGUCUUGAAACACGGACCAAGGAGUCUAACAUCUAUGCGAGUGUUUGGGUGUCAAACCCAUACGCGUAAUGAAAGUGAACGGAGGUGAGAACCCUUAAGGGUGCAUCAUCGACCGAUCCUGAUGUCUUCGGAUGGAUUUGAGUAAGAGCAUAGCUGUUGGGACCCGAAAGAUGGUGAACUAUGCCUGAAUAGGGUGAAGCCAGAGGAAACUCUGGUGGAGGCUCGCAGCGGUUCUGACGUGCAAAU
The sequence is a ribosomal RNA, 808 nucleotides long. It matches the Rfam family "Eukaryotic large subunit ribosomal RNA", at positions 72 to 898 of the family's 3401-position model.